CCACACAGCAAAAUGCGCAGCUAGCAUGUUCAAGACUUUUCUUAUGAGAAAGCAUGCCAUAACACAAGGAGAUCAUCAUCAUCAUCAUCAUCAUCAUCAUCAUCAUAAUAGCACAAUACUAAGCCAGCAGUUCCCAACCAGCUGAGAGAAAGGUAACUCACCACUACUGUAAGCGUACGGGGACUCGGCUGAUCCAUCCUGCAGACUGUCCAGGAUCUCUCCUUUUCCCACAUCGCUGUCUCCGACCAGGAGGAACUUGAGCAGCGCUAUGGAGAUAGGUCUGGCAAUGCGAGACUACCUCACUUGUGACCCGUCUUACCAGAGUGAAGACCAGGUAGUAGAGCGCUGUGGUGGGCAGCAGGAACAGCAGGACGGUGAACAGCAGCGUCCCAAUGAAGAGCUGAAACACCACAUAACACACUCACAGUAAACACGGAGUGUGUACCAACUGAGGCAGCCUGAAGAAAACAACGUGAGGCACUAAAUAAUUUUUUUAUAAGCGUCUGACCCAGUUACGCAACAGUGACUUAAACAAAACAUCCUGUUCUGCAAGUCGGAUUCAGAUGAUUUAUGUAUUGCCAUACUAGUUAUAAUUAAAGGGAUAAUAACAAUGGCGUGUGCUUUUGAAUGUAGCUGUUAUGCUGCUGCAUAAAUACACUUUUUCUGUUUA
Molecule: long non-coding RNA, 670 nt
Organism: Perca fluviatilis (European perch)
Lineage: Eukaryota; Metazoa; Chordata; Actinopteri; Perciformes; Percidae
Exons: 3
Source: RefSeq, a predicted model, not a curated record